RNAcentral lists this long non-coding RNA (217 nucleotides) under Elaeis guineensis (African oil palm). RNAcentral's name for it is "long non-coding RNA (EGUI_LNC021280)". The record is from RNAcentral. Lineage: Eukaryota; Viridiplantae; Streptophyta; Magnoliopsida; Arecales; Arecaceae.
AGCAACUCCAACAAGUCCUAAAGUUUCUUUUCCAUCUAUUUCUCAAAAUCGAUGUUGUACAUCACCUCAUAAUAGGUCUUAGGAUCAACUACUUGAUCCCUAUCUCCUACAAAGAACACUUCCUUUACAUCCUUUGAAAGCAUACCCAAGUAUCUUUCAUGAGGAUCGGAGACCUUAUUAGAUCCACGAGAUGGAAGAGAUCCUACGCUAAUUGGCU